GACGAACGCUGGCGGCGUGCCUAACACAUGCAAGUCGAACGGAGCACUUCGGUGCUUAGUGGCGAACGGGUGAGUAACGCGUGAAGAACCUGCCUUUCAGUGGGGGACAACAGUUGGAAACGACUGCUAAUACCGCAUAAUGUUAUUUGGGGGCAUCCCUGAAUAACCAAAGAUUUAUUGCUGAAAGAUGGUCUCGCGUCUGAUUAGCUAGUUGGUGAGGUAACGGCUCACCAAGGCGACGAUCAGUAGCCGGUCUGAGAGGAUGAACGGCCACAUUGGGACUGAGAUACGGCCCAGACUCCUACGGGAGGCAGCAGUGGGGAAUAUUGCACAAUGGGCGAAAGCCUGACGCAGCAACGCCGCGUGAUUGAUGAAGCCCUUCGGGGUGUAAAGAUCUGUCAGUGGGGACGAAACUUGACGGUACCCACAGAGGAAGCAAUCGGCUAACUCCGUG
This 454-nucleotide ribosomal RNA is filed under the name uncultured bacterium. RNAcentral describes it as "bacterial SSU rRNA". It matches the Rfam family "Bacterial small subunit ribosomal RNA", at positions 28 to 507 of the family's 1533-position model. The record is from RNAcentral.